GAGUUUGAUCAUGGCUCAGAUUGAACGCUGGCGGCAGGCCUAACACAUGCAAGUCGAGCGGAUGACGGGAGCUUGCUCCUUGAUUCAGCGGCGGACGGGUGAGUAAUGCCUGGGAAUCUGCCUGGUAGUGGGGGACAACGUUUCGAAAGGAACGCUAAUACCGCAUACGUCCUACGGGAGAAAGCAGGGGACCUUCGGGCCUUGCGCUAUCAGAUGAGCCUAGGUCGGAUUAGCUAGUUGGUGGGGUAAUGGCUCACCAAGGCGACGAUCCGUAACUGGUCUGAGAGGAUGAUCAGUCACACUGGAACUGAGACACGGUCCAGACUCCUACGGGAGGCGGCAGUGGGGAAUAUUGGACAAUAGGCGAAAGCCUGAUCCAGCCAUGCCGCGUGUGUGAAGAAGGUCUUCGGAUUGUAAAGCACUUUAAGUUGGGAGGAAGGGCAGUAAGUUAAUACCUUGCUGUUUUGACGUUACCGACAGAAUAAGCACCGGCUAACUCUGUGCCAGCAGCCG
This 513-nucleotide ribosomal RNA is filed under the name bacterium enrichment culture clone ALO1_GLFRUDD03GB8W1. RNAcentral describes it as "bacterial SSU rRNA". It matches the Rfam family "Bacterial small subunit ribosomal RNA", at positions 9 to 517 of the family's 1533-position model. The record is from RNAcentral.